CUUGCUGCGGGGAGCUGUAGUUUACUUUCAGUUUCAUCUUUGCAGUGAUCAGCUGAACAGGAUUGAGGGGGCAGAGGUAGGGGACAACAAGUUACCCCAGCCUUUCCCCACCCCCCUCUUCCCCCCACUGCCAUUAAUCAUGCCAGUGCACACUAAACUAAGAAGACACUUAAGGUCCGAAAAGGGGGCGGGGCUAGACGGCACUGUACUACACAGUGCCAUGUUUCCAGCAGCAUGGGAGAAUGGAGGGAAUGUGAUCAGCAGCAUGGCCAAAACAGAGUGACUCUUCUGCUUUCCUGGCAGCUGCUUGGUGUAGCAACUGUAUAUUGAGCGCCUGUUCUUCUUGAGUUACUGGAUCGCCUUUUCUUCCUGAAUCCCACAACUCCUGUUCCCAGCUCAGAGUAACUGGAUCGCCUUUUCUUCCUGAAUCCCACAACUCCUGUUCCCAGCUCAGUGUCUGAAAAAAGCAGCACUCAUCGUCGGCCAGUAACUCCUAUCACAUCUUCUGAUGAUGACGCUGCGAAAGCAGCUUCGAGUACUGGGAACAGCAUCCCUCCGCAACAACAGCAACACAGUGACAUGGAGGAGACAAACAUCUUAGAAAUGCAGCCAUUAAUGCAAGAAAUGAGCCCCCCAGCACCUGUGAGUACACCACCACAGCAAAGCACACCACGACCACAACACAGCCCAACAACACCUGGAACACAAGGCCCUGAUCAGGUGUUUUGGACCAUUUGGGCUAGACAGCAGGCCACUAAUGAAGAUUGCCUAUGUAAGCAGACACAAAUGUUUGCAAGCCUACUAUCUCACCUCAGAAGAAUAUCAAGAAAUCUGAGUAGACAAAAUGAGCAAACAACCAGAAUAGCCAAUACCAUGGAACUCAUGCGUACAGACAUUACAUAGGUCAUGGGCAACUUACAGCGCAUAAUGGAAGAACAGCACAGACAGCAGCAAAGUUACAUGAGCAUUUUUCAAAACAAUCAAAAGAUUAAUGAAAGUUUAUUCAGAAUAGUAGACAAUCAAAAUGCUGCUACACGUGAACUCAAUGCCACCCUCACUAACCUGAAUGAAACACUCAGAUGCAUGCACCAACCGCAAACAAGCAGCAGUUCUGGUACGACUACUCCAAAUGUCACGCCAGUCUCAUCACCACAAAGACGCUCCACCAGAGCACGACAACAUGACAGUGCUAAAGGCAAAGGGCAGGACAAGCAGCCACCAAAAAAAAGUGAAAAAAAAAACAAGUUGGACAUUUGUGAUAAGUAAAUUAAAAAAGUUAGCAAGUGUUUUUGUUGCUAAAAUAAUAUAACACUUAGGUCCUUGACCCUUUUUUCAACAUCAUUAAUUAUAAGUGGCACAAAAUUAAUAUAAAUUUUGGACGAACAUUUAUUCUAAACAAUUUUUAUUUGGUAUUGGAGGCGGGAAAUGUUGAUGGAGCCACACAUACAUGUUAGCAGGAAGUAAACUGACCCCUUGAUUUUUUUCUAAUCAUUACUCUUUCUAGAUUCCAAUCAUUCUCUUUGCCUGCAAAUACAAUAAUUGCCAGCCAGGCAGAAUGUCUUUAGCAGGAAGUAAACUGACCCCUUGAUUUUUUUCUAAUCAUUACUCUUUCUAGAUUCCAAUCAUUCUCUUUGCCUGCAGAUACAAUAAUUGCCAGCCAAGCAUAAUGUCUUUAGCAGGAAGUAAACUGACCCCCUGGAUUUUUUUCUAAUCAUUACUCUUUCUAGAUUCCAAUCAUUCUCUUUGCCUGCAGAUACAAUAAUUGCCAGACAGGCAGAAUGUUUUUAGCAGGAAGUAAACUGACCACUUGAUUUUUUUCUAAUCAUUACUCUUUCUAGAUUCCAAUCAUUCUUUUUGCCUACAGACAAUCCAAAAUACAAUGUUAGUGAUACAUAUCUUAGCUAUCUUAUCUAUACAACAUUACAAGAAGAACACAAUUGAGUUGCGUAAAAAGCUUGUAAUAUGUUGGCUUUGUUUUGUUUGAAAAACAUUGUCCAAAUGAAUGUCAGUAUUGUUGGGACAUGUUUGUGUGUGUUUAAAAUUAAUAAGAAUGUUUUGACACGUGAUGCAGAAACAAACAAAUAUGUAAUUUUUUUUUAAAAACACAAACUGUGUAUAAUAAUGUCUAUGUGUGGCAAACUGUGGAAUUACUU
Molecule: long non-coding RNA, 2153 nt
Organism: Pseudophryne corroboree (corroboree frog)
Lineage: Eukaryota; Metazoa; Chordata; Amphibia; Anura; Myobatrachidae
Exons: 6
Source: RefSeq, a predicted model, not a curated record